Non-coding RNA from Phascolarctos cinereus (koala), 615 nucleotides. The record is from RefSeq and is a predicted model, not a curated record. NCBI's taxonomy places the organism in Eukaryota, Metazoa, Chordata, Mammalia, Diprotodontia, Phascolarctidae.
AGAGAGAGAGAGAGAGAGAGAGAAAGGGUCCCCGACUUCCUCACAGGUAAUUAAAGGGACUGUUUUCAAGGUUGCAUGGGCAAAAGACAAUUCGGCCCUAAUGAAGCAUCGAUCGACUGCCAGUAAGGUAGAAAGAAGCUGACAUUCAUUCAAAGUCAAAAGCAGAACAAAACUUGGAUGUCUGGGCAAAGAAAACAGUGACACCUUAUCUGUUUUGAUUAAGAUAUGAAAAUGAAAUAAGCAAAGGGAGAGGAAGCUGACACAACAGAAGAAGAGGGCUGGAUCUUGAGAGACAGUUAUCUGGGUCCAGGGGCAACUCAGGUGGCCAUUGUUCUCAGACUUUCCCCUCUGCUUAUGUAGCUCCUAUAAUUGCCCUUCUUUCAGAAGGUACACUCCAGUGGGAAGAACUUGGGAUAUGGAGACAAGGAUCUAGAUUUGAAUCUCAACUCUGCUAUGUAUUACCGUGCAAGCUUGGACCAGCCGCUUUACCUCUAUGGGUUUCAUUUUCAUCAUCAUAGACAGCUAAGUGUCAUGGUAGAUAGGGAAGCACGCUUGACCCGGAAUUAGGAAGACCUGAGUUCAAAAGUGACUUCUGAUCCAAACUAGCUGUGUGAC